Molecule: long non-coding RNA, 536 nt
Organism: Callorhinchus milii (elephant shark)
Lineage: Eukaryota; Metazoa; Chordata; Chondrichthyes; Chimaeriformes; Callorhinchidae
Exons: 2
Source: RefSeq, a predicted model, not a curated record
UACAUUGACCCGUUAGAUUUCUUCAAUAAUUCACGCCAUUAUAAAUUGCAAUAUUUUAAACGCUUUUUUUUGGUCUCGUAAAAAGAUUCAGCUCAGUCCACAAUACGGUCCUUGCAUUCCAGGGAAGAUGAAAUGUUCCUAAUAUCUGGCGGCCUGAGUGAUUAACAAGGUCUCUCAUUAAUCUUCAAAGUUUUGACAAGACGGUCGGUCAGUCACAAAAUAGUACUUUCACCAGAGCAGACACGCAGUUGCUAUUUGCCUGUAUGAAAGUUACAAACCCCUGACAUCAGCCUCUCUGAUCUUGGACACAAUGAUCAAAACCUACUUUUGCCGAUUUUCGAUGGGGGACAGAAAUGUUAGCUUUUCAAAGGAAAAAGUUUUUUUUCCGAAAUAGGUCCAAUGCCUUCCAUCCCCAGACAGCACGUGGUGUCUCCUUUCACCGGAUGGAAACUUUUUACCCCUUAAUUCCUGAAUGUGUGUGUAAGUGUCUGGGACUUGUUUGGUAAUAAAGAUAUUUACAAGAUUGCAAAAAAAAA